AAUUUUUAUAGUUUGAAAAAUUUACUCAAAAUUUAUUUUACAUAUAAAUUUUAGUGUUAAUUAUUAAUUUAUUUUAAUAAUAAUAAUAAUAAUAAUUUUAGUAAUUAAUAUUAAAAAUUUAAGCAAUUAAGAUUUAGUAAUAAUUUAAUUAAAAACUAAUUUUGUGCCAGCAGUUGCGGUUAAACAAAAUUUAAAGUAAAUUUUAUUAGUAAAAUUAAUUAAUAAUUUAUAAUUUAAAUUAAAUAUUAAAUUAUUAAGUGAAAUUUUAAUUUAAUAAAAAUUUAUAAAAAAAUUAUGAAAUUAAUAAAUUAUAUUAAAAACUAGGAUUAGAUACCCUAUUAUUAUUAAAUUAAAUGGUAAUACUAAAAUAGUAUUUAAUAAUUUAUUGAAAUUUAAAUAAUUUGGCGGUAUUUUAGUUCAUUCAGAGGAAUCUGUUUAAUAAUUGAUAAUCCACGAAUAAAUUUACUUAAUUUAUAAUUUUGUAUAUCGUUGUUAAAAAAAUAUUUUAUAUUAAAAAUAAUAUUUUAAAAUUUAAAAAAUAAAUUAAAUCAGAUCAAGAUGCAGAUAAUAAUUAAGAAUAUAAUGGAUUACAAUAAAUUUAUUUAAAUGAAAAAUAAUUUGUAAGAAUUAUAUGAAGGUGGAUUUGAAUGUAAUUUUAUUUAAUUUAAUAAAAUGAUUAAAAGUUAAAAUAUGUACAUAUUGCCCGUCGCUUUCAUAAAUAAGUUGAAAUAAGUCGUAACAAAGUAGAGGUACUGGAAAGUGUUUCUAGAAAGA
Molecule: non-coding RNA, 774 nt
Filed under: Plodia interpunctella (Indianmeal moth)
Lineage: Eukaryota; Metazoa; Arthropoda; Insecta; Lepidoptera; Pyralidae
Source: RNAcentral